Molecule: long non-coding RNA, 19520 nt
Filed under: Triticum aestivum (bread wheat)
Lineage: Eukaryota; Viridiplantae; Streptophyta; Magnoliopsida; Poales; Poaceae
Description: long non-coding RNA (TAES_LNC024679)
Source: RNAcentral
GCCUGUGGACAGGUCUGGAAUUCAACAAUUAAGUAGUAGCAGAUCUGUGCAAAGGUUAGUAAACCCCCCUGCUGAAAUUCACGAUCGCUUUAGCUAUGAUAGGUUGUAUUCAAAGUGGAAUUGUCAAACUCUUAUUACCUCAUGAGACCAAGGUUAGAGAACUUGUUGCUUUCUUGAUAUGUCGGCAGUCUAGCUUUUUAGCACGCUCAUAAUCUCUGAAUUCAUUGCCAUGUUGAAUUAAAUAACACAAGAGAGUUUUCAGGUAGAUAUAGUUGUAAAGGUAGAGAACACUUGUUACUAGGUGAUUGAUGAACAUUGAUAGGGCAAAAAGACUUGAGCUUGCUAAUUUUUACUCAUAGAACCUGCUGAGUUGAGUAUGGUGAAGGUGAUUUUAUUCUCUUCUUGAUUUGGAGUAUUUUUUUCCCAUCCCACCAAUGCCAAAAAUAGAGCAGAUUCCAGAGCCUUGAUUAUUCGCAAUUUGAAUAUUUUUAGUGCGUAUUGUUAAGUUUGAUGUUCCUCUAGUCUGAAUUCUUUCAAAGCCAGUCAUUCUCUUCGCGUAACUUUACACUUUCCAGCCUCUUCACUCGGCAUUGCAUUCCUUCAUAAGGAUAUCAUGAACAUUGCCGGUGUACAUAUACAAAUCCCGGAAAUUGAACCAUUGCCUUCCAUUUGUUCACACCAUACCUGCCUAUAUAGUACAUCACUUUGCACCGGGAAUUCCAUAGUAGUUGAUUAUUCCAUGAGCACAGUCAUCAAAGUUCGAGAAGACUCUAAAGGGCUUUAUUGCCAUCAACCCUGCAAAAUUCAUUAUUAUGAAGAGCUAUAUUCAUCAGCAUUGGUUCCUCUCUUAGAUACAAAUGAAAAAAAAAGAAAUAAAGAAAAAGCGAGAUGAGCACCAUGCAAAAGAUCAAAGGGUUCAUUCUCAAGCAGGACAAAAUAGCCAGCAGCGCUUCCAUAUUCAUGUGCAGAUUAAUCAAACUACUAUCUAUGCAUAUCGAUAACGGGAACAUCACUCACAUCCCGGGAUCACCUUACAUUGCAUAGGCCUCUCAAAUCAUUUCUUUGGUGUGAGUCCAUUCCCUCCCACAUACCCUGAUACUACUUCUUUCAAUGACUGGAACUAAAGACUUCUUUGUACUGGAGUUGAACUCUUAUUUAGCUUUACAAUCUAGAUUCAGAUUUGCUAUUUUUUUAAUUACCUUACCAAGCUCCAGAUAAGCUUUCCACAAAUAUAAAGUAGAUAGGGAAUACUUGGGCUACUGGCCAGUGAGGACUAUAUAAUUAUGUGACGAGAGUAAUUCCAGAUCAUGACGAGGUAAUUUCACUAGAUACCUGCUCUUGGAAGAUUCACAAAGGAAUAAAAUUGUUGGCUACUCAUGUUUCCUUUUGUUCUUGACAUUGAAGUCAAACAACCAAGUGAUUAGUGUUCAAAAACUUUUAUAGCUAUAUUGUCGAUGCUGGUUACUCUCAAAAAUUGAAAUCUAUUCCCUACUGGCAAUGAAUAAGAGUAGUUAUUUAAGUGUGCUCAAUCGCUAGCUUGCUACUUUUAUAAGUUUGCAGGAAGUGCCUCGACCCGAAGUUCAUGAGGGUUUCAAUAAUUGUUUGCACAUGAACACUUGUUUGCAAUCUAGCUAUGCUAAGCUUUCAGGUAUUUCACAAGCACGGAGGCAAGUUGAAUCAGGAGCCUAAAUCAUCUGGCCGCGAUUGGAGACUCUCCUCUUUUCUCAUGGGAAGACCCAGAAAGGGAGAGGCCUGAGAUGAAUCAUGUAUACCUUUUGUUUCUCUUUGUAGCCACUUUCUUCCUGAUAAUGCUAUAAGGAAGUGAGAAUGGUUUUUUCACACCUAGUACUACUUUCCUUGCAGCUUCAGUUUGUAGUAGGUUUCGAUGGGUGGUAUGAAAACAGGACAAAAAAUUUCAUUUGUUUUCUCAGCGUGGACAUGUAUAUUCAGUGUAAUGAAGUGCAGUUGUUUGCAAUAGUAUCUUCAUAUCUGAACCUAUGCUUGGGUUCCAAUUUUUGGUUGCCUGUGCUAAUGCAUAAACAAAUAAAGACACUGUAAUGGUUCACUGCAGAAUCUUCGUGGCUGCCUUUUGAUACCCAACUGGCAAUCUGAACCAAUCAUUGUUGCCAUGUUGUUUUUCUUUUCUGAGGAAAAGAAAUUCCUGCGAUUUCUGUUUACAACACAAACAAGAUUCGAGUGCACAAGCACUGGGUAUGAUGAGUGUGCUUGUCUUACCCAGGUAUGAUCCGGUGAGAUUUGGGUUUGUUUUUGGGCCCACUAAUAAACAAGUACUCCCUCCGUUCCCAAAUAUAAGUCUUUCUAGAUAUUUCAACAGGUGACUACAUACAGAGCAAAAUGAGUACUAAAUUUCAUUUGAAAUGUCUACAUGCAUCCGUAUAUUAUAUUUCAUUUAAAAUGUCUACAAAGACUUAUAUUUAAGAACGGAGGGAGUACAGUACAGGGGAACAUCUCAAACGAGCAAACUCUACUAACCACGCACUAGAUCCGAGCCGUGUCUCCCGUUUUCAGUUUCGCGAUGUACGUCUGCUCUGCUUCCUCUGUCUACGCGCCCGUGCUACCGACGCCGACGCCGCCACUGUCACUAAACUACUACGGCUCUUGGCGCGAGAUCUGAAGCGAUGCCGCGGCUCAAGGCGUUGGAACCGGAAUGCUCACGUGCCUUCUCCGUCCAGAAAAACUAGACUUGGGUGCGAUAAUUGAAGCUGAGUCUUCGUUUCCCUAUUUCGCUCGCGCCAUCGGGUUCUUAGCUGGCAGCGAUUUGUUAAGUUCCAUCGUAUCCGUUGGUUGGGGCCAUCGCUACACUUGUUUGCAGCCACUGGUCAACCCUUCUACUAGUACCACUCAGUUGCUCUAUCUUUUCAGUUUUCACAUGAACGCCUGCUCUACCAGAAUUUGUCUCCACUGGUAGUUUAAUUUUUGAGAGUUUACUCACAGUCAAAAUAACUCACGAGGUCCGCCCCGAUGACACAACGUCCCCAAAAGGGUAACAACGCGAAGUGUUGCUGCUGCCGAGUCUGAGACAAUAGACAAAAGUUUUCACCCGGAGCCUGACCGAUGUCCGAGAACCACGACUACGUCUUCAAGAAGAGAACGACGCCCACCGUUGCCGGCAAGAAAGCGUGAACCUUUCUCUCAAAACUUGCCAAUACCACCUGGAGGCGCCUCAGUCACCAUGGCAGUGAGAGUUAGCGGGUUGACAAAACAGGUCAGAGCCUUCCACCCCAACACCCUUGCCGCCGCACACGACCAAGAGGUGGAAGCACUGCCACCACCAUGUAGCCCGCUGAAAAGUUAACCGUGGAGCCCACCAUCAAGGGCUGCCGCCCCGGCAUCCUCGAGGCACCUCCACCCAUCCACCUCACGGCACACCAACAUCGCAAGAAGAGUAGAAGGCACUCCUUCCACUCCUAACUCGGCAUCAGUCUCCAUAUCUUGGGUCAACACCUCCACGGAAGGAGGCGUCGAGCCUACAUCCCAAACUAGUCCAGGUGGACUAAGUGGCCAUGACCCCAAGACUACCAACGACUGCUGCCAAGCCGGCCCCAGCUAUCGCCCUUCGGCCUGGCCAAGGGGAGCUUGCACAACGCCAAAUCUGCUGACAUCGGUGCUGACCCAUACGAUGGUGACGUUUUGCCAGGAUCGCUACCACCACACAUGUGAGCUCCUAUUUGGCAUUUCAUGCGCCAGGGAAGCUCCCUGGCGGUGAGCCGGCCCAUGCACUCGACCGCAUUUGAGAAAAAAAAAGGAAACAAAGCGUUGAAUUCAAAAAAGUUCAUGGAAAUUUGAAAAAAAUCAUCGAUUUGUAAAAAAAUUCAUCAAAUUUUUAAAAGGUCAUUGAAUUUGAAAAAAAAGUUCAUCAAUUUGGAAAUAAUAGUUCAUUGAUUUAAAAAAAAUAUCAAAUUUUGAAAAUUUUCAUUGAUUUUGAAAAAAAAAGUUCUUCAAUUUUGAAAAGAAAUCAUCUGUUUUGAGGAAAGUUAACGAAUUUGAAAAGGUAAUCAAUAUUGAAAAAAAUUCACGAGUAUGAAAACAUUUUAUCAAUUUUUAAAAAGUUCACAAAUUAGAAAAAAAAUGUUUUUUUGAUUUGUAAAGCAAAUUUGGAAAUUUUAAAAAGUUCACACAUUUGCAAAAGGAAAAGUAAACAGAAAAAAAAUGAAAACCGAACAAACCAUUCCAAAAAAUGAUAAAAAAAUAAAAACCAGUUUGGGGAGCUUCCCAAAAACCGAGGGCUUUGCGAACUGGAGAAAUAAUAAUAGGAGAAAAUUAGAGGAGUCGUCACAAUGGUUGUGAUUAUGUGACAUCACAAAAAAAUUAGAAACUUAUUUUUGACAAAUGCAAACCCCAGCAUUUUUACAAGGCUUUAACGUGGCCUAGUCAUAUCAGAAAGAAAAAACGUGGCCUAGUUAUGUGGGCCAGUCACUGUGCUUCAGAAAGCAUAGAGGGUGGAAGCCCACACUCUCCAUUUAUGCCACUCGUUUGGCUAAAGAAAAAGAUAUGCCACUCGUCGGCGACGAGGUCACACGAGGGACGAAGACGAAACAAGGCGGCCGGCCAUGGCUUCGCCGGAGUUCGUUGCCGGCGGCGGUCGACGGCUCACGCCUUCCCUCGCUCUCCGCUGCGCACGGCGACGACCCGAAUCCGUAAGCGCAUCUUGCUCGAAACCCUCGUUUCUCCCUGGCUGGUCCGGUUGGGUCUAUCGGUUGGAUGCGCGUGCGCGGCGUCGGGAACGGAGGAUUAGGCCGCGGUAUUGUGAGUUUCAGUGUUCUCCUGCAACAUUUGGGAAGGUUUCUUCUUUAUACUACUAUAUGAGUUCUGUCAGGCUUUUAUGUAAAGGAAAGGGGUUAAUCACUUAGGUGGCUGCUCGUUAAUUACGCUUCUUAUAGAGUACUCCCUCUGUACCGAAAUGUAGGUCGCUGGGGCAAAUGUUCCGAUCAGGUGAAAAUGGGCAAACGGACAUUUAUACCCUUAGUUUAAAUUUUGAAUCGGGUCGCUGGAUCGUCUUCCACCUCCGCCACCGCCCCUGCCCUCCACCUCCGCCUCCGGCCCCGCCCUCCACCUCCGUCUCCGCCCCUGCCCUCCACCUCCGCCUCCGCCCCCGCCUCCGCCCCCGCCCUCCACCUCCGCCUCGGCCCCCGCCUCCACCUCCACCCACGCCGUCCUGGGGCUCCUCCUGGACCGCGCGCGCCCAGGUGAUGCUCUGCUGCCGCCUGCUCGUGGAGGUGGGCUGGUGCUCUGCUGCUGUCCGCUGGUGGAGUCGAGCUGCUGCUCUGCUGCCGGCUGCUGGUGAAGGCGAGCUGGUGCCCGCACGCGCCCAGGGGAGCUGCUGCCGCUGAAGCACUCACCGCACACAGGAGCUGCUGCCGCUGAAGUACUCCCCGCUGCAUAGGAGCUGCUGGCCUAGGUUCAUCUCCUCGCCCAGUACCCGCUCUGCAUCAAUUUGAUGAUCAUAAGCAAUCAGAUGAUCAUAAACUAAGACUUGCUCAUAUGAGUAAACAAUUUGAUGAUCAUAAACAAGAGUAAUUCAAAGAAAUAUUUGUUGCCAAUAAUUCAAGACAAGAGUAAUUCAAGAGAUAAUUGCUGCCAAUGAUUCGAGUGAAUACUCCAUCAGAAUUUGUUCAAAUUAUUGGGAUGACGACGGAUAGACGACAUGUAAUUAACCUGGGGAGAAAAGGCCACCAGUAACCAUGAGUUCAUGUAUUGGUUUUGAUCUCAGGAAGCAAGGUUUUGAUUUCUUACAACAUGCCACUACUCUAGGAGAAAAUUUUGGUAUCUCAUGAAGAAAUUAUGAGGUUUACUCUGCCAAUAGCCCUGAUCUGAAUGGCCUUGACCUUGGGUUCUUCAACUCGUUGCAAUCUCUAACAGAUUGUCUAAGCCCUAGAACGCUUCAAGAUCUUAUCAAGGGUGUGCUAGAUGAAUUUGAAAACUAUGAGGUUUACAAGCUGAACAGAGUUUUCCUAUCUCUACAAGCUUGCAUGGUUGAAAUCUUGAACCAUGCAGGGGGCAAUGGGUAUAAAAUACCCCAUGCGAACAAGGAAAGGCUAGAGAACCUUGGGAUGCUACCUCCAAGACUUACAUGCCCUCCAGAGGUAUAUGCAAAUGCCCUGCACAAUCUUGGGAUAAUGGAGAGAGUUGCUUGUUGAGUUGCUUGUUGAGAUGCUUGAGGAGUUGCUUGUUGAGUUGCUUGUCGAGAUGCUUGAGGAGUUGCUUGUUGAGAUGCUUGAGGAGUUGCUUGUUGAGUUGCUUGUCGAGAUGCUUGUCGAGAUGCUUGAGGAGUUGCUUGUUGAGAUGCUUGAGGAGUUGCUUGUUGAGUUGCUUGUCGAGAUGCUUGUCGAGAUGCUAGUUGAGAUGCUUGAGGAGUUGCUUGUUGAGAUGCCUGUCGAGAUGCUUGUUGAGAUGCUUGAGGAGUUGCUUGUUGAGAUGCUUGUCGAGUUGCUUGUUAAGAUGCUUGUGAUUAUUUGUGUGGAGUAUGUGUAACUCCUUGUUUGUGUGGAGUAUGAGUAACCCUAGAGAUGUGGCUUGUGUGGAGUAUAUGUAACUCCUUGAGAAGAGACUUGUGUGGAGUGCAUCAUUUGUAUGAUCAUUUUCGGAAACCCCAUGUGAAAUUACUCCAUAUGUUUGCAAAAGGCUUCUAUGGACUGGAUUUUACUCCAUACAUAUGAUCAUUUUUGUUUGAAAAGUUUCAUUUAAUUUUGUGUGGAGUACAUCAUUUGUGUGAUCAUUUUUUUUAAUUAAGAGAGAAGAGGAGAGGGCACUGGAAGAGAGAGAGAGAGAGAGAGAGAGAGAGAGAGAGAAGAGAAGAGAGGGAACUGGAAGAUAAUCCAGUUUCAUUUGAUUUAGGUCUCAUAUUGUUGCACUAUUGUAAGAACUACUCCUACUCCAAGAACUACUCCUACUCCUAUUUUUAAUUAAAACUAAACAGCAGGUCCACAUGAUUUUAAUUUUAAUUUAAGGAAAAUUCCACACGAUUUUACUUGUAUGGCCUAUCGCGAUUUUACUGAAACUACUCCUGAUUUUACAGAAACUACUCCUAUCAUGAUUUUGCUGUCACUAAUAUGCAAGCAACAAUUAAGUUCACAAUAUUAUGCAAGUUAACAAGCUUCAGUAUCCCAAGUUUCAGUACAUAAGUUAACAGAAGCUACAGACGACAACUUUUAAAAGAAGCUACUCUGCACUCUACCUGCAGUAGAUACACAAAUUGUAUACAGGGAGUAUGUACUGAGAUUGCAGUGAAAACAAAUAGGAAGAACACAUUUAGUCUGAUUGUGUUAUUGACAAUUUAAAGCAUUUUUUGAUACACACAUUGUGAAUGAUGGCAUGGUCUUACAGUAGCUGGAGCUUCCAAGACACUCAGGGCAUUCCUCUUCAACUUCACCUCCACACCAUUCUUCAGAACCUGCUUUUACGAUAAUAUCUCAGGAAUUAGAACAAGAUACCACAUUUGGUUGCUUGACUAGCUAAUUUCUGAAAAGAAAAGUGAAGUCAAAAGACAUUAUUUCUUUCACUCCAUUGCAAUUGUCAAUCAUUAUAGAGAACCAGCCACUAGCUAAGCAGAGUUUCAGUGGGAUGCCCAAAUAAUAAUUGGAAGCAAGAAUCACUUUAUAAGCAGAGUUUCAGUAGAAUCUCAAGAUUCAUAGCAGAGUGAGAAUCCAGCAUCUGAUAUCUGGAGGAUUGGUGAACACUGAACAUUUGAUGCAGUUACAUAAAUCCAAAGCUAUACUAAGUUACCAGCAGUAAGAAUCACUUUAUAACACAGCAAAAAAUUGCAGCACAAGGUAACUAUUCCAAGACUGAACUUAGCGCAGUAGGUGGACCUGCCUCAGACAUCAUAACAGACGGGAUAUCACUUCAGCAAGGUCGAUAACAGCCUGAAUUUAGCGCAAGAAAACAAAGGUUCUUGGCACCGAAACAAUCAAGACUGGUGUCCUGCUGCAAUGGGGAUAAGACUGGUUCUUGGCACCAAAACAAGACGAAUCGCUCACCUGCAGUAAUGGGACAGGAACUCCCUGUAGUCCCCGUAGUCCGGCGCCGCCGCCACGGAAUUGUUCGCCACUAGUGGCUCCCUGCGCUCGCCGCGGACUGACGGCCUGGGCAGCCCGCCCAAGGACGCGGCGGAGGCCUCCUCCCCCAGCGCCUCCCCCGGGGGCCUCCACCACCAGCAGCAGCUCCGAUUCCGCCUCUUCAAGCGCCCGGGCGCCGGCGGGGGCGCCGGCGACGUCGUGCUGGGCCUGGGGAUCCGGGAGAGGAGGGAGCUGGGCCGAGUCUUCUUCGCCUUCUGUAGGGGUGGAGGUAGGAGCUGGGGAGGGGUGGAUCCACCGGCGCACGUAGAUCGAGCGCCCGCGCGCCUCCACCGCAUAGAAGCUCGUCACCGGCGGAAAAAAAUCAAAAUUUUCAGCGGCGCAUACAGACUGUGACUGGAGGACGGGUGGUGGAAGAGGCCGGCGACGUCGAGAGGGAGAGGCAGAGGGGAGACCGACGUCGAGGGGGAGUGGCAGAGGGGAGGCUGGCGAUGGGGACGCGGGCCGCCGACGAGCGGAUCUGGGAGAGUGACUGGGAGAGCGAGUGGAGCUAGCGCUGUGAGCGACUGAGCGAGCGAGUGGAGCUAGCGCUGUGAGCGACUGAGCGAGCGAGCGGUGCGGACAGUGAACGAACGAUGCGGGAGGGAAAAUUGGGAAAGUGAAAGAAUUUCGUAACGUGACGAAAAUUACACUACGAUCGCUUAAACGACCUACAUUUCGGAACAGAGGGAGUAGAAUACUUAGGGUUAACAACACCGAAAUGGCGUUCUAGCAUUAUUCCAGCUGUUUCAAUUUCGAGGCCUCCUUCAUCACUUGCCUCAUUAGCCUGUUUCUGAACUUUUCUGUCUUAUAACAGACCAAAAAGGACUUGAUAUGUUUUGAUUCCUUGUCAGAAGUAACCUUGCUUGACAUCAGUUACAGUUUGGUGCAUUGCAGAACCACCUAUGCUUGGUGUGAAAUCAACGCAUGUGCAUCCUGUGCCUAUGCUAUUGUGCAUUGGUCUAGGAUACAGCAGUUGGCACGAGAUCUGAAGCGGCGUCCUUGGUUUCGCUGUAGACGCAGUGCAUUGAAGCCGCGGUUGCUGUAGUGAAUAGAGUUCCUCCCACCCGUUGCUUGGAGCGUUGGUUCAUCACGGAAACCAACCACUCCGUUGAUCAGUUGAUCAGGUACUAUGCGGUUGGGACCCAGGACAACUAGAAUUGAAUAGGUGCGCUGGCUGCACACCCAGCAGUAGUUGCAUCUCAUCAUACUGCACGCGCACAAGCAAUGAUGAUGCUUCAACUGUUAAUUCAGCCAGUACUAUUUUCGUUGGAUGCUUGCGACUGAUUUUGCACUGCAUUGCUUGGAGAUGUAAUUUCAGGAUUCAUAUUUUAAUUCUCAGCAAGAUUUCCAUCAGGAAGGAGGAACAGUGAAGGGAUUGUACAAUUUCCAUAUUAUAGGUGAGUAUUUUUUCCGAACAAGGUGAUCUUUUACACUGGUAUUUGCUCAUUUUGAUUGGGUAAUUUUUGAGCUAGCAUAUUUUGAUGCUUAAACAUCUGAUUUCUACACACAACCUUGCCUUCUUCUAUGGUGAAGUGUUUGCAGUAUUCAUUAAUUAGUGAGUAGGAGUUUUGAUCCGAAAGCUGAGCUCACACCAUUUAUUGUGGAGUACGCCAUUGUUAAUUCGAGUUCGUUGAGAUGCUUGGACCUUCAGCAAUACCCUCAUUGUUUAUUGGACAAACUUUCCUAUAACAAAAAGGUGCUUAGCUUGCACAUAUCAAUGUAUCAUGAUGCUUUUACGCCUGUUUGGUGUCUUGAGGGAUAGUAUGUUGAGUUGUAUUUAGAGAGUCAUGAGAUAGUCAUCCAAUGCCUUUUUCUUCUACCAAAGGUCGAUGUAAUUUGAAAUGACGUGGUUUUCAUACAAGAUAGAUCUUUUUUCUUCUACUAAGCUGGUUCAGUUUGUGUGUCUGUGUGUCUGUGUUUUGCAUAAAGGUUCAGUUUGUGUUUUGUUGGAUAUACAUGCGUUCGUUUCUAAAUUUCGUAAGUUCAUUGGUUUAGAAACUCUGCAGAGAACACUGCGCCUUUUCUCACUUGCAGAAUUUCGUAAGUUAAUUGGUUUAGAGACUCUGCAGAGAACACUGCGCCUUUUCUCACUUGCAGCACUUUGGUACUUCAUCAUCUAUCUAUCAAGCUUGCAUGUGGCCGGAUGCGCUAAAAAUCAAGUCCAUCUAAUCGGAUUCAAGUAUGACAGAACCACCAUAAAUAAAUAAGUGAAACGGGAAAAAGGCCAAAUAUAUGCCUUUGUCUUUGAUGCCCUGAGAAGAGGCCAGUUAUCCCUUACCAUCCAUCACCUCUGAACACUUUCCCAGUGCCGCUGGGAUUACCAGAAGCUGGAAAAUGUGGUUGCCGCGCUUUCUGUCUUGUAGUUGUGAUAUAAUUGAAAUAUAAGUGGAGCAGGUUGAUUUCGUUGAGGUGUGUUUAUUGCCACACCAUCCACUGAAAGCAACCGCUCUGUUGAUCAGGUACAAUGCGGUUGGGAUUCAGGACAACUAGAAUUGAAGACGUGUGCUGGCUGCACACUCAGUACCGUGUUCGUUGGAUGCUUGUGACUGAUUGUCCUGAGAAACAGCAAGGUGGGUACGAAGUCUACGUCAGGAUGAAAGCAGAGAGACAUGCCAUGUGGUGCUAAUUAAGGUCAGGGCACAGCUGGCCUUGUGAAGGUGUGAUGCCUUCAAAUUUCUUCCACCUUGCUUCACAGAAGGGACAUUGCUAGAUGGCUCUCCUCCCAGCACUCCACCAUUGACCUUUCUUCUAGCUAGUCCUCCUCUCUCAGCAUCAGUGCAAUACCAGCACUCUAGUAGACCAACACUACUGGUGACACUGCAUUUGUAGCGUUGCCGUCCGAGCACGAAGCGGGAGCACGGCCGGCCAGCCUCUGGUACGCACAUACAUGUAUCUUGUCUUCCCUCUACAUAUAUGCCCUGUUCUCCUGCAACAUUAAUCUGAUUCCACGAUGUGCCGGCCUGGCUUCUCCAACCUUGUCCAUGAUGUUGAACUCUUGGUUAAUCUCAUAUGCAGGUUUACGCCGUAGGCUAUAACAUCCAUAUCUACCGGGAUUGAUGGCGACGGUUGGCAUCUCCGCAGCAAGCUGGGUAGUGGGCAAGGCUCUAAGCCCACUGUCCGGAGGCGUGCUGGAGGCAUGGAGUGCAAGCUCCAUGCUCGGAUCAAACAUGGAGGCCUUGAAGAUGCAGCUGCUGUACGCGCAGGCGAUGCUGAACAACGUCCGGGGCAGGGAGAUCCACAACCCUGCCCUGGGCGAGCUGCUAGACAAGUUGCGGCACCUCGCGUAUGGAGCCGAAGAUGUGCUGGACGAGCUCGACUACUUCCGCAUCCAAGAUGAGCUCGACGGCACCUACCAUGCCGCCGAUGCACAUGAUGCAGGCUUCGUCCAAGACCUCGCCCUCAAUGCUCGGCACACGGUGAGAGCAUGUGUGAAUAAGCUCAAGUUACCCGUGUGUUCGCGUGCUGCCACGCAGGUUGAGCAAGACGAUGGUGGAAAACAAGGAUACCUCUCAGGUUUCCGCUUUUGUGGAGUUCAUGAGAUUAGCUGCUCACCACCAUCACCCGCCAACCAGAUUCAUGGCAGAUGCAUGCCAAAGGUUGCCUCCAGCACCCGUGAAGCUGCCCACGCUGUCGGUAAACACUUCCCAUGCUAUUCUUUUCCAUCCGUCCACGAUGAUGAUCCUAACAAGGGCAUGUUGGAAUCCACCAACACGUGUGGAAAUGGGCAGCGAUUUCUUUGUGGCGCUUGGGUGUCCCCCAAGGCACCGCAGAAGAAUCAUGCCUUGCAAAUACCAAAGUUAAAGUUUGAUCGGGUAGAAAUGUCUACAAAAAUAAGGGACAUCGUAGAACAGCUGAAACCCGUAUGUGCCAUGGUCUCCACCAUUCUUAAUCUGGAGCUGCUGGGCUCGAGUCGUACCCCUGGACAAGAGGCUGUAAUAAACAGAGCCAAAACCACCCCAGAAAUCAUAGAGCCUAAAUUAUACGGGAGGGAUAGCCAAAACCAGAUUAUUGUGGAUGAAAUUGAUAAGGGUGAAUGUCGUGAACUUACUGUGCUUCCAAUUGUUGGCCCGGGGGGUAUUGGAAAGACAACCUUCACACAACACAUAUAUGAACAAAUGAAAAGCCAUUUCCAGAUUCCCAUUUGGGUAUGUGUCUCUUUCGACUUUAAUGCGAAUAGGUUGGCAAAAGAUAUUUUGAAAAAGAUCCCCAAAGUUAACAAUGAAAACAACACUUGUAGUGAUGAAGAACGUAUCAUGCAAAGAAUAAAAGGAAAGAGGGUUUUACUCGUCUUAGAUGAUGUGUGGACACAUCAUGAGAAUGAGCGGAAAAAACUAUUAAAUUUGUUUAAGAAAGAAGGGGCAAAAGGUAACAUGGUUAUAGUCACGACUCGAAUACCCGAGGUAGCAAACCUGGUUAAGACAACUGAAUGCUCACUAGAAUUGGACAGAUUAUGUGGUGACGAUAUUAAGUCUUUCUUUGAAGAAUGUGUAUUUGGUGACCAAAAACCAUGGGUUGACUAUCCAGAAUUAUCCGAAGUUGGCAGCAAAAUAGUGGACAAGCUGAAAGGUUCCCCUCUUGCAGCAAAAACUGUUGGUAGAUUACUAAGAAACAAACUUACAUUGAAAAACUGGACAAACGUUCUGGAAAGUAAAGAAUGGGAAUCGGAAAGCAAUGACGAUGAUAUUAUGCCAGCUUUAAAGCUCAGCUAUGACCAUCUUCCUUUCCAUUUACAACAAUGUUUCUCUUUUUGUGGUUUGUUUCCUGAAGAUUAUGAAUUUGGUAGCGAAGAGUUGGUUCACUUUUGGAUUGGACUAGAUAUUUUACAUUCACGUGACCAGAAGAGAAAAAGGCUUGAAGAUGUUGGACUGUGCUAUUUAACAGACUUGGUAAAUCAAGGAUUUUUCAAAAUGAAUAAAAAGGAAGAUGGACGUCCUUAUUAUGUCAUCCAUGACUUACUGCAUGAGUUGGCAGUGAAGGUUUCAUCGUAUGAAUGUCUUAGCAUCUAUAGUUCUAGCGUGAGGCACAUAGAAAUCCCCCCGUGUGUACGUCACUUGUCUAUAACCAUAGAUAACACGGAUGUACAGGAUAGGAUGUCUUUUGAAGACCGUGAUGGAAAUUUAAGUGCACUAGAUAAGCGGCUGAAAGUUGAACACCUACGUACUUUAAUGUUAUUUGGUGAUUACCAUGGAAGCUUUGUCAAAACUUUAGGUGGAUUGUUUAAGGAAGCUACAGCCCUUCGUGCCAUAUUUUUGUCCAAAGCAUCGUAUAAUUUGGAGGACAUAUUGCAGAACUUUUCAAAACUUGUCCAUCUUCGCUACCUAAGGAUCAAGUCUGUAUAUGACUGUCAGUUGUGCUUACCAAAUGCGCUAGUUAGAUUGUAUCAUUUGGAGGUCAUUGAUCUACAAAAUGUGGUGCAUUGUGUUUUUUCAACUAAACACAUGAGAAACCUUGUGAAAUUGCGUCAUUUUCUUGUGCCAGAAGAAAAGCUCCAGUUUCAUUCUGACAUUUAUGGGGUGGGAAAACUAAAAUUCAUUCAGGAAUUGGGAUUAUUUAGAGUGGGAAAGGAGAGUAAUGGUUUUGAACUUAGCCAGCUAGGGCCAUUGGCAGAGAUUGGAGGAUCACUUCGCAUUUAUAAUCUCGAAAAUGUGCAAACCAAAGAGGAAGCAAACGAAUCCAAACUGUUGCAUAAGAACCACUUAAGAAGACUUGUAUUAGGAUGGAAUGUUAGGCGACCUAACAAGGAUCCUGUAAAGGAAGAAAAUGUUCUAGGCAGUCUUGUACCGCAUAGCAAUCUUGAAGAGUUGUACAUUAGUGGGCAUGGGGGCACUAAAUGCCCAAAAUGGCUAUGUGAGAAUCUCUCGGUUAAAUGUUUGGAAACUCUUUGUCUGGAUGGUGUGUCUUGGAGAAACCUUCCACCUUUAGGAGAGAUUUGGAUGGUUAAUGAGCUUGGUAAAGAGUAUCAGGGUUGUAGUAUCCCACCUGCAGGCUUCCAUAAUCUAAAAAAGCUACGGUUAAGUGGCAUAUCUAGUCUAAAAAGAUGGGUUGGAAAUGGCCCUUGUUCUCUCUUUUCUCACUUGGAAGUGCUCAUCAUUAGACAUUGUUCUGAACUCAUCGAGUUGCCGUUUUCACAUACUCCAACUUGCUGUGAAGCACAGCCGCAGGAGAAAAUGGCUUGGUUUCAUAGACUAGAGAAGCUUGUCAUUGCAGACUGCCCAAAAUUAGAGUCCUUGCCUCCCAUCCCUUGGCAGACUCGUGCACCCUGCUCUGCUGAUAUAGAACAAGUGGGACCAGUUGAGCGCCUGUGGUAUGGGUACUCAUACGAAUCGAAGUUAAGAUUGAACAUUGAGGGAAAGGGUGACGUAUUGUGGAGUGGGUUGAAUUUCUCUAAUCUAGCUCCUCUAGAUGAGUUGCGGAUGAAAAAGAUCCGUCCCCUGCCGCUGGAUGACUUCCAGGUGCUUACAUCUCUGAAGAAGAUUGAGAUAGAGGGUGUGAGCAGCAGCGUCUUGCUGCCGGUUGAAGGUGAUCGGUGUCGUGGCGUAUACCAGUUUCCAGUUGAAGAAGUUGUGAUCAAAGGGUGUGAAACUAUUUGGAAAGAAUUGACGCUGCUGCUCUCUUUCUUUCCCAACCUCUCAUGGUUUUGGAUAGAGAACUGUGAGAAUAUAACUGGGUUGGGUGUGGCGGAGGAGGCAGAAACUGUUGCUGGAGAGCAGGAGCAACAGACAAGAGUUGGAGAGGACGAAAUAAUAACAGCAGUGGCAGCAGAAGGACUGCUGCUCUUGCCUCCCCACCUACAGGAGUUGUGGGUAUGGCGUUGCCCAAGGGUGAGCAUACUCCCCAAUCCAAUGCGGGAUGAUGAUCACACAUCAGCAACAGGAGGAGGCCUCCAACGUCUCGGCUCCCUCCGUCGAUUGGUUGUACAUGAAUGCCCUGAAUUCCUGUCCUCCUGUUCGUCCUCGCCCUCCUCUUUUUUCCCCUUCCCGACCUGCCUGCAAGACCUAUUACUACGCGGUGUGAAGCACAUGGAGACGCUGCAAGCCCUCUCAAACCUCACCUCUCUCACCGAAUUAUACUUGGAUAUACUGGGGGACUCAAGAGACGAGGGCUUAUGGCCUCUCCUCGCCCACGGCAGCCUCAAGAGAUUAGAGAUCUGUGCUGACUCUGACCUCUUCCUUGGUUCCCAUCCAGCAAGGCCACAUGACAAAGAGGUUUUUUCCCAGUCCUGCCAGCUCCUCCAUCUGAAUAUUAACGUCUACGCAGGAGUCCUUGCUGUGCCCAUCUGCAACCUCCUCUCUUCCACUUCCACCCUCACCAAUUUGGACCUCAGAUUCGACACGGAGGUGGAACACUUGACAGAGGAGCAAGAGGAGGCCCUUCAGCUCCUCACUUCCCUCCGGGAGCUAUUUUUUUUCGAUGGAGACAAGCUGCAGCGCCUCCCUGCAGGGCUUCACAACCUUACCAAUCUCAAGAAAUUGAGGAUCAAUGGUUGUCCGGCCAUACGGUCACUGCCCAACCUUCCGAGCUCUAUGCAGGAAUUGCAGAUUGAGUUCUCGGGUGCCAUCAAGUCGCUGCCCAACAGCCUCCCGAGCUCUCUAGAAAAAUUGGUGAUCACAGACUGUGAGGCCAUCAAGUCGCUGCCCAAGAAUGGCCUUCCGAGUACAAUGCGAGAGUUAGAUGUCAGCUAUGGCAACAGCAAGGAGCUAAAGAUGGAUUGCCGCAAGCUGAUAGGAACCAUCCCGAUAGUCAGAACCUGACCAAUCCAAGGUACAUUACAAAAAAAAAAAACACUUUUCAAUCUUUUUACUCAAUCCUAGUUCCUUCCUAGCUUAUUUUCCUAAAUCUGUAAGCACCGAAGCCAUUUUCUUUUGUUUUGUUUGGUUCAUCGUAGUUACUGCUGUUUCAUCUUAAAAAAAUGAACGGUUUGUUUUAAUUUACUUUCCAGGGUUCUUCAAUCUGCAUAUUCUUCUAGCCUCCUACAGUUUGUCUCCGUAUAAUUCUGAGAGCAAGGUUGCCAGCUCAAGCAUGAUGGCUUCAGUUUGUUUCUCCCAUCCUGCACGUAAAGCUGGUUAGUAUACAUGCAUGCAUAAUUAAAUCAUCCCAUACAGCUGUAUUUCCCAUCCAUUAUUAUAGAGUAUUUAACCAAAAACUACCACAAUUCGUGGAACCGUGCCUACAAACUACCACUUUACGAUUUUGUCCCAAAAACUACCACUUUUUUGCUGAUCUGUGACUAAAAACUACCAUGUGGGUAAAUCAACCGAUUCAUCCAUUUUAAACGUGUUUAUGAUAGACCUGGCCCGCAUGUAAGAAUACUCCUUGUUUUUAUACAUACACAAUCCCCACCAUUAAUCAUCAAUUAUUUCCCCAGUUUGUUUCUUGUUGUUAUUGCAAAAGUCUGAACUGUGCAGUGUGCGCAGGCUGAGUCACGGAGUUGUAAAUCUUCCAUCUUUGUACAAUUCUCCGCAUUGGCACACUGUUCCGACUUCCGACGUCAAAGCCUUGAGUGGCUCCUCCCUCUGAGCGUAAAUGAUACUUAGUUAUGGUAUGUACAUUUAUGUAAUGUCACAGUUUACUCUCUGUAAGAUAGUUGAUGCAUAUUAGUAUUUACCUUGCUUCUUCUUAAUCCGAUGUUUCAAGUCAAAUUUCUCGCUUUCUUUGCCUCAUUACUACACGACCUGAAGUCUGACAAAAUGUUUAUUCUAUUUACUAUGCAGGGCUCCAUCUUGGAGUUGUACAUUCUUUUAACCUUGCAAAAUUUACUACACACACACACACACACAGGUGGCACAUGAGGGUCUUGUGUGGUAUCUUCAUCCUACAUGAAAUCCAUAAAUCUGGUUAGUACGGGUAAAUCCAAUCUGUUCAUCAUAUAGCUAAUACCAUUUCAAAGUUCCUUUGUCCCCUCGAAGAAAUUUCUCAUGUACUCAACUUUUUUUCUUUCCUGUGCAGGUGUUCUUGUGCUCAUUCUGGUUGCUCUCUAGAUACUUCGCAUUUACAAUAGUACUUGGCUUAUUUGGCUGUUAUGGUCAAAACAUGACAAUGACAUAAUGGUGGAAGCAAGGAGAUCCAGUGACUUUCUACUGAAAUUAAGGUCUGCAGUUUUUUUUUAAAUUCGUUACUACACUGAUGACAAUAGAGGUGUUCUUGCAUCCUUCAUUACUGUUGUUGCUUAACGAAAUUUAAUGAAUGCAGGAAACAAGAAUACCCCUCUUAACAGAUCAGUGUUUGUGUGCAGCUAAUUCAGAUCUCCCGUUGCUAUCAACUGGUACGUCCAAUGUUCUCCUUUUGCAUCCAUAUAAAAGUCUAAAAGAUAACUUGUGUAUUUAUCUUUAAGUUCCAAACUUUUUAGAUUGAACUAAGCUUCUUGAUUGCUUGAUAGAUGUGGCCCGUGGACAAGUUUGGAAUUCAACAAUGAAGUGGACAAGUUUGGAUUCAACAAUGAAGUAUUAGCAGGUCUUUGGAAAGGUUAGCAACCUCCUGCCGAAAUUCAUGAUCGCCUCAGCUAUGCUAGAUUGUAGCCAAUGUGCAAUUGUCAACCUCUUAUUGCCUCAUGCGACCUCAGUUAGAGAACUUGCUGCUUUCUUUGUAAGUUGGCAGUCUAGCUUUUGAGCACGCUCAUAAUCUCUGAAUUCAUUGCCAUGCUGAAUUAAAUAACUCAAGAGAGUUUUCAGCUGAUACAUAUAGUCAUAAAGGUUGUGAACACUUGUUACUAGGUGAUUGAUGAACAUUGUUUGUUCAAAAAGACUCGAGCUUGCUAAUUUUUAUUCAUAGAACCUCCCGAGCUAAGUAUGGUGAAGGUGAUUUUAUUCUCUUAUUUAUCUGGAGUAUUUUGUUUUUCUAUCCUACCAAUCCAAAAACUGAGCAGAUUUCUUGAGCCUCGAUUAUUGCAAUUUGAAUAUUUAGUGCGUAUUGUUAAGUUUGAUGUUCCUCUAGUCUGAAGUCUUGAAAGCCAGUCAUUCUGUUUGCGUAACAGCUAGCCUCUUCAACACUUGGCAUUGAAUUCCUUCAUCAGGAUAUCACCUACUCCGCUGGUGUACAUAUAUACACAAAUCUCAAAAAUUAAACCAUUUCUUCCAUGUGUUCACACCAUACCUACCUAUAUAGCGCAUCUCUUGCUAUUCCAUAUUUAGUCGAUUAUUCCAUAAGCACACUCAUGAAAGUUCGAGAAGAUUCGAAAGAGCUUUAUUGUCAUCGUCAUCAACCCUCCAAAUUCCAUCAUUCUGAAAUGACACCUCUCUCACACAAAAAUGAAAAAAAGAGAAAAGAAAAAGAGAGAGGGUCACCAUUCAAAAGAUCAAGGGUUCAUCCUCAAGGAGGAAGAAAUAGUCUGCGCCGCUUCCAUAUUCAUGUGCAGAAUGGCUAAUCAAACUACUACCUAUGCAAUAUUAAUAACGGGAACAUUACUAGCAUCCCGGGAUCACCUUACAUUGCAUAGGCAUCUCAAUCAUUUCUUUGGCAUGAGUCCAUUCGUUCCCAUAUCCCCUGGGCACUACCUUUCUCCAAUGACUGGAAUGUGAAGACUUCUUUGUACUAGAGUGGAACACUUAUUUAGCUUUACUAUCUAGAUUUCAGUUUUGCUCAUUCUCUGAAUUACCCUACCAAGCUCCAGAUAAGCUUUCCACAAAUAUAAAGUAGAUAGAAAACGCUCCGGCCACUGGCCAGUGAGGACUAUAAUUGUGUGAUGAGAGUAAUUCCAGAUCAUGACGAGGUAAUCUCACUAGAAACCUGCUCUUGGAAGGUUCACAAAGGAAUAAAAUUGUUGGUUGCUCGUGUUCUCUUUUGUUCUUGAAAUUGAAGUCAAACCUCCUAGUGAUUGUGUUCAAAAACUUUGAUGGCUAUAUUGUUGAUGCUGUUCACUCUCAUAAAAUGGAACCCAUUCCUUACUGGCAAUGAAUACGAGUUGUUAUUUAAGCUUGUGCUCAAUUGCUAGCUUGCUACUUUGAUAAGUUUGUGGGAAGUGUCUCGAUCCGAAGUUUAUGAGGAUUUUAAUAAUUGUUUGCACAUGAGCACUUGUCUGCAAUCUCGCUAUGCUAAGCUUUCAGGUGUUUCACAAGCACAUGGGCAAGUUGAAUCAGGAGCCUAAAUCCUAUGGCCUGCCAUUUGCUGUGGUCUGAGACUCUUUCUCGGAGGGAAGAAUCAGAAAGGGAGAAGCCUGAGACGAACCAUACCCUUUGUUUGUCUUUGCAGCCUGAGAUGAAGAGCCUAUAAGGAAGAGAGGAUACUUUUUUCGCACUCAUUUCCUUGUAGCUUCAGUCUGUAGUAGGUCUCGAUGAGUGGUACGAAAACAGGACAACUUUUUUGUCAUUCGUUUUCUCAGUGUGGACAUGUAUGUUCAGUGAAAUGAAAUGCAGUUCUUUGCAACACUAUCUUCAUAUCUGAGCCUAUGCUUGGGUGUCACUUUUGGUUGUCUGUGCUAACGCAUAAUUAAAUAAAGACACCACAAUGGUU